CAGCCUAACACAUGCAAGUCGAACGGCAGCACAGGAGAGCUUGCUCUCUGGGUGGCGAGUGGCGGACGGGUGAGGAAUACAUCGGAAUCUACUCUGUCGUGGGGGAUAACGUAGGAAACUUACGCUAAUACCGCAUACGACCUACGGGUGAAAGCAGGGGACCUUCGGGCCUUGCGCGAUUGAAUGAGCCGAUGUCGGAUUAGCUAGUUGGCGGGGUAAAGGCCCACCAAGGCGACGAUCCGUAGCUGGUCUGAGAGGAUGAUCAGCCACACUGGAACUGAGACACGGUCCAGACUCCUACGGGAGGCAGCAGUGGGGAAUAUUGGACAAUGGGCGCAAGCCUGAUCCAGCCAUACCGCGUGGGUGAAGAAGGCCUUCGGGUUGUAAAGCCCUUUUGUUGGGAAAGAAAUCCAGCUGGCUAAUACCCGGUUGGGAUGACGGUACCCAAAGAAUAAGCACCGGCUAACUUCGUGCCAGCAGCCGCGGUAAUACGAAGGGUGCAAGCGUUACUCGGAAUUACUGGGCGUAAAGCGUGCGUAGGUGGUCGUUUAAGUCCGUUGUGAAAGCCCUGGGCUCAACCUGGGAAC
RNAcentral lists this ribosomal RNA (587 nucleotides) under uncultured bacterium. RNAcentral describes it as "bacterial SSU rRNA". It matches the Rfam family "Bacterial small subunit ribosomal RNA", at positions 44 to 621 of the family's 1533-position model. The record is from RNAcentral.